ACGGAAGGCAGCAGUAGGGAAUCUUCCGCAAUGGACGAAAGUCUGACGGAGCAACGCCGCGUGAGUGAUGAAGGCUUUCGGGUCGUAAAACUCUGUUGUUAGGGAAGAACAAGUACAAGAGUAACUGCUUGUACCUUGACGGUACCUAACCAGAAAGCCACGGCUAACUACGUGCCAGCAGCCGCGGUAAUACGUAGGUGGCAAGCGUUAUCCGGAAUUAUUGGGCGUAAAGCGCGCGCAGGCGGUUUCUUAAGUCUGAUGUGAAAGCCCACGGCUCAACCGUGGAGGGUCAUUGGAAACUGGGGAACUUGAGUGCAGAAGAGAAAAGCGGAAUUCCACGUGUAGCGGUGAAAUGCGUAGAGAUGUGGAGGAACACCAGUGGCGAAGGCGGCUUUUUGGUCUGUAACUGACGCUGAGGCGCGAAAGCGUGGGGAGCAAACAGGAUUAGAUACCCUGGUA
RNAcentral lists this ribosomal RNA (459 nucleotides) under uncultured Bacillus sp. RNAcentral's name for it is "bacterial SSU rRNA". It matches the Rfam family "Bacterial small subunit ribosomal RNA", at positions 341 to 792 of the family's 1533-position model. Lineage: Bacteria; Bacillati; Bacillota; Bacilli; Caryophanales; Bacillaceae. The record is from RNAcentral.